CCGCGGGAUGCUCGGGUCCCGGCUCGCCGCCUUUCGCCGAGGCUGGCAGUCCGCGCCGCGGGGCUGAGGCCGAGGUGUCCCGGCCCAGACGUGGCAGGCGCAGCUCGGCUCCGCAAGGGCACGGCCGUGGGGAUUUACACUCGGCGGGACUGACCGCCGAGCCCCUCGCUCGCACGGGCCUCUACAAAUCCGUAAUGAGGCCCUGGUACGCCGCUCCCAGCGUCUGCCGUGGGCUAUUUUAGGCUAUGCUGCCCUAAAUCCAUAGGCCUGUAACGCAGAAAUGACUCACGGAUUUUAAAGAGGAACGCUACCAGAAAGGCGAGUUUGAUGGUUAUCGAGUCACCAUGUCUCGUGUGUUGUGUCUCCUCCAGGUUCUCCAAGCUGCACCCGAACUUCUCCCUGCGGAUGGCCUCUCGUGGGUGCACAGUAAACAGGGCCAGCAUUUCCUCUGUCCUCAGAAGACCUCAAGAAAGGGUUCUAAGUGCUUAUUCAGGCAACAUCGGCAGAGGCAGAGGAUUGUUGCUGCAGCUGGUAGGCAGCAGUGGGUCUGUCAGCAGGGGCUGCAGGGCAGGCAGGUCUCCCACCCAUCUCUCAGGCCAGCUCUCCUCAGUAGAGCACUUUCAGCUCCAUUUUAAAACCUUACAAUGUUGAAAUACUCGCUUGGGUGAGCAGGGUUUGUUUUGUUGUUUUGUUUUUUUUUUCUGCAAACACUAAGCAUGGUGCUACUGACCUUGAAAUAUACUAUGGCACCUUGAAAUAUACGGCAGCUGUUUGUCGGCCCCUUUGACCCUGCAGGAACACACGGUGAUCCCAGGGAGAGGACCACUUACGGAAACUCAGAAUACGCUGAGUUCGAAGGGAUCCACAAGGAUCAUCAAAGUCCGGCCCCUGGCCCUGCACAGGGCAUCCUCGAGGGUCACACCAUGUUCCUGAGAGCAUUGUCCAAAUGCGUCUUGAACUCUGCCAGGCUUGGUGCUGUGACCCUGACCACUUCCCUGGGGAGCCUUUUUCAGUGCCGAGCACCCUCUGGGUGAAUGAGCUCUGCAGGAACACAGCGGUAGGUCCAUUUGGACGCUCCAGCAGCCCCGGCCGGGCUGCCCACAGCGGGUUUUGCCGCGCUGCCCACACGCGAGUUUUGC
Molecule: long non-coding RNA, 1139 nt
Filed under: Chloebia gouldiae (Gouldian finch)
Lineage: Eukaryota; Metazoa; Chordata; Aves; Passeriformes; Passeridae
Description: Erythrura gouldiae (Gouldian finch) lncRNA (ENSEGOG00005002406.1)
Source: RNAcentral